AACGUAGGACGCAAGCGUUAUCCGGAGUUACUGGGCGUAAAGCGCGGGCAGGCGGUUCUGCCAGUCUGAUGUGAAAUCUCUCAGCUCAACUGGGAGCAGCCAUUGGAAACUACAGAACUGGAGUCUGACAGAGGUAGGCGGAAUUCCGGGUGGAGUGGUGAAAUGCGUAGAGAUCCGGAGGAACACCAGAGGCGAAGGCGGCCUACUGGGUCGGUACUGACGCUGAGCCGCGAAAGCCAGGGGAGCGAACGGG
RNAcentral lists this ribosomal RNA (253 nucleotides) under uncultured bacterium. RNAcentral's name for it is "partial 16S ribosomal RNA". It matches the Rfam family "Bacterial small subunit ribosomal RNA", at positions 524 to 776 of the family's 1533-position model. The record is from RNAcentral.